RNAcentral lists this ribosomal RNA (409 nucleotides) under bacterium enrichment culture clone ALO1_GLFRUDD03GCKYN. RNAcentral's name for it is "bacterial SSU rRNA". It matches the Rfam family "Bacterial small subunit ribosomal RNA", at positions 9 to 416 of the family's 1533-position model. The record is from RNAcentral.
GAGUUUGAUCUUGGCUCAGAUUGAACGCUGGCGGCAUGCCUUACACAUGCAAGUCGAACGGCAGCACGGGAGCUUGCUCCUGGUGGCGAGUGGCGAACGGGUGAGUAAUGCAUCGGAACGUAUCCUGGAGUGGGGGGAUAACGUAGCGAAAGUUACGCUAAUACCGCAUAUUCUGUGAGCAGGAAAGCGGGGGGACCUUCGGGCCUCGCGCUCUUGGAGCGGCCGAUGUCGGAUUAGCUAGUUGGUGAGGUAAAGGCUCACCAAGGCGACGAUCCGUAGCAGGUCUGAGAGGAUGAUCUGCCACACUGGAACUGAGACACGGUCCAGACUCCUACGGGAGGCAGCAGUGGGGAAUUUUGGACAAUGGGGGCAACCCUGAUCCAGCCAUGCCGCGUGAGUGAAGAAGGCC